UGGGGAAUAUUGGACAAUGGGCGAAAGCCUGAUCCAGCCAUGCCGCGUGAGUGACGAAGGCCUUAGGGUUGUAAAACUCUUUCGUCGGGGACGAUAAUGACGGUACCCGAAGAAGAAGCCCCGGCUAACUUCGUGCCAGCAGCCGCGGUAAUACGAAGGGGGCUAGCGUUGUUCGGAAUUACUGGGCGUAAAGCGCGCGUAGGCGGUUUUGCAAGCCAGAGGUGAAAUGCCUGAGCUCAACUUAGGAAUUGCCUUUGGGACUGCGAGGCUUUGAGGACGAGAGAGGUGAGUGGAAUUCCCAGUGUAGAGGUGAAAUUCGUAGAUAUUGGGAAGAACACCGGUGGCGAAGGCGGCUCACUGGCUCGUUUCUGACGCUGUAGCGCGAAAGCGUGGGGAUCAAACAGGAUUAGAUACCCUCGUAGUCCCUGAGCGGGCUGGCAAGGCGCAU
This 448-nucleotide ribosomal RNA is filed under the name uncultured bacterium. RNAcentral's name for it is "bacterial SSU rRNA". It matches the Rfam family "Bacterial small subunit ribosomal RNA", at positions 355 to 825 of the family's 1533-position model. The record is from RNAcentral.